GGGGAAGAGAAGAGCUUCCCAACACAUCUCAGAGGGCUGCACAAAGGAGCGAGGUCACUUCUGAAUGAGCUAAAGAUGGCCAAUCGUGGCUGGCGGGGUGGCCUCAGGCACCCCACUGGACUUCUCCGAGCCUGUUUCCUCAUUGAUAACAUUGAGCAGGAUGAAUACUGAGUGAUUUACUGCCUUAAAAUUGUACAACAAGUGCCAUGUUGUAUUUGGCUUUUGUAAAGAUUAAGACUAUGGUGAAUUACAAUUAUUAACCAAAAGGAGACACUGGUUUCCAAGGGAUUAUGCAAAGAAGGAGGUGAGAUUCCAGAAUAUCAGAUGUCUUGACACAGUACUCUGGAGCUGCAGGUAAAAUACAGUCCCAGAGCCUAUUCCCAAGUCCAUCCCCCGUCCUGAUUUCUGGUUGCUUUGCAUUCAACUUGGUCACUUGACUCUUAACAGCCGGGUUCCCACAGCUGAGCUGUCAGUGGCACUGACAUUAAACCUCAAGGGGCAGAAGGCAGUGGGCACUUGCCGAGGAGACAGUCCAAACACUAACAUCUUCCCUAGCAUGACCAAACUGGCUGGCACGUAUUGCUUUUCCUUACCAAUCACCGACAUUCUCUGGGCAUUUUCCUCUGAAGGUCACCAUCUCUUCCGUUAUACUGAUCACAGAACUCUUGUUAGCCUCACAGACAUCGCCCUCCAAAUUCCCUGGAUUUUAGUAAUGUUUUGGCUUUUUCUCUAUGCCCUAGAGCUCUGCUUUGUCCAUCCACAGCCCCUCCACUCUACACUAUGACAGGUAGUUUUGAAAAAUUACAUUACUCCGCGCUAUUAUGUUAUUCUCGUGUUUAGAAAUAGGGCUUCUUUAGCAGUAGUUCAACGCUUAUCAGGCACCUGCUAUGUCUCAGCAUUGAGCAAGGGCCUGGGCACCAGAGUUAAAUGAAACUCUGUCCAUGACUUCUAGGGCUCCAUGAGUUCACCUCUGCAUAGAAUUUAACAACCUCAAAAGACUUCCGCAUACAUUUUCUCGUACGCUUUGCACAAUUUGGAGAGAUAAGCCUAGCGGAUGAUAUGUUAUUUCCAUUUCAGGGGAAAAUGGAGACAGAAAGAUGAGCUGGGUUGCUCAAGGUCCCCUGGAUUAGAAGUAUCGAGUGCUGCCCCAGAGUCAAGUCUCCCAGCCCCGUCUCUCCUGCUCUUCCCCGGCCACCCCGCGCCUACUCAGAGCCACAAGUCAAAACGGAGGUGUCCCUGGGAACCCUUCUCGGGUGUUCCGUGUUUCUGAGAUGCCUCCAACGCGGAAAUAAGCGAUGUGUCAGUCCGGUUUCACAGAAGCUACCAAAUAACCGCAGGUUUUUACGGCUCCAGAAAGACUGCAGAUCAGACUCCCACUGAACAUGCGUCCUUCUGUUCACCAUGUCUGUUUCCACAUCUUGUGCUUCUUCCAAAGUGUGUAAAGUCACUGGGCGAGUAAUCUUGGGUUAUUAUAAAACCUAAGGGUGGUGGGCUCAUAGUGCAGUUAUAAAGUUUCCCUGAAGUUCUAAUUCCGUUAUUAAAAAUGUAAACCUUA
Molecule: long non-coding RNA, 1555 nt
Organism: Callorhinus ursinus (northern fur seal)
Lineage: Eukaryota; Metazoa; Chordata; Mammalia; Carnivora; Otariidae
Source: RefSeq, a predicted model, not a curated record